RNAcentral lists this ribosomal RNA (2311 nucleotides) under Lacticaseibacillus rhamnosus. RNAcentral's name for it is "partial 23S ribosomal RNA". It matches the Rfam family "Bacterial large subunit ribosomal RNA", at positions 608 to 2925 of the family's 2925-position model. Lineage: Bacteria; Bacillati; Bacillota; Bacilli; Lactobacillales; Lactobacillaceae. The record is from RNAcentral.
UUGUAGAAUGAACCGGCGAGUUACGUUUGCCUGCGAGGUUAAGAUGAAAAGUCGGAGCCGGAGCGAAAGCGAGUCUGAACAGGGCGCUUCAGUAGGUAGAUGUAGACCCGAAACCAAGUGACCUACCCAUGACCAGGUUGAAGGUGUGGUGAAACACACUGGAGGACCGAACCCAUGUAUGUUGAAAAAUGCUGGGAUGAGUUGUGGGUAGCGGUGAAAUUCCAAACGAACUUGGAGAUAGCUGGUUCUCUCCGAAAUAGCUUUAGGGUUAGCCUCGGAGGAUGGAUCAUGGAGGUAGAGCACUGUUUGAACUAGGGGCCCGUCAAGGGUUACUGAAUUCAGAUAAACUCCGAAUACCAUUGAUCUUACUCCGGGAGUCAGACAGUGAGCGAUAAGGUCCAUUGUCGAAAGGGGAACAGCCCAGAUCACCAGUUAAGGUCCCUAAAUUUAUGCUAAGUGGAAAAGGAUGUGGCGUUGCACAGACAACUAGGAUGUUGGCUCAGAAGCAGCCACCAUUUAAAGAGUGCGUAAUAGCUCACUAGUCGAGUGGCACUGCGCCGAAAAUAUACCGGGGCUAAGCAUAAUACCGAAACUGUGGGUGCACCCGUCAGGGUGCGCGGUAGGAGAGCGUUCUAAGGGCGUUGAAGGUCGAUCGUGAGGACGGCUGGAGCGCUUAGAAGUGAGAAUGCCGGCAUGAGUAGCGAAAGAUCAGUGAGAAUCUGAUCCACCGUAUGACUAAGGUUUCCUGGGGAAGGCUCGUCCUCCCAGGGUUAGUCGGGAUCUAAGGCGAGGCCGCAAGGCGUAGUCGAUGACAAGCAGGUUGAGAUUCCUGCACUAGUUUAUUUUGUUUAAGCGAUGGAGGGACGCAGGAGGCUAAGGAAAGCGCACGGCUGGAAAAGUGCGUCCAAGCAGUAAGUCCGGUAGCGAGUGAAAUGCUUGCCGCCUUAAGGACAAGCUGUGAUGGGGAGCGAAAUUAAAGUAGCGAAGUUCCUGAUGUCACACUGCCAAGAAAAGCUUCUAGUGAGAAAUAAACUACCCGUACCGCAAACCGACACAGGUAGUCGAGGAGAGUAUCCUCAGGUGAGCGAGCGAACUCUCGUUAAGGAACUCGGCAAAAUGACCCCGUAACUUCGGAAGAAGGGGUGCUGACCGCAAGGUCAGCCGCAGUGAAUAGGCCCAAACAACUGUUUAUCAAAAACACAGGUCUCUGCUAAAUCGUAAGAUGAUGUAUAGGGGCUGACGCCUGCCCGGUGCUGGAAGGUUAAGAGGAUGAGUUAGCGCAAGCGAAGCCCAGAAUUGAAGCCCCAGUAAACGGCGGCCGUAACUAUAACGGUCCUAAGGUAGCGAAAUUCCUUGUCGGGUAAGUUCCGACCCGCACGAAAGGCGUAAUGAUUUGGGCACUGUCUCAACGAGAGACUCGGUGAAAUUAUAGUACCCGUGAAGAUGCGGGUUACCCGCGACAGGACGGAAAGACCCCAUGGAGCUUUACUGUAGCUUGAUAUUGAGUGUUGGUACCGCUUGUACAGGAUAGGUAGGAGCCGUAGAGAUCGGAACGCUAGUUUCGAUGGAGGCAUUGGUGGGAUACUACCCUAGCUGUAUGAACACUCUAACCCGCGCCACUAAUCGUGGCGGGAGACAGUGUCAGGUAGGCAGUUUGACUGGGGCGGUCGCCUCCUAAAAUGUAACGGAGGCGCCCAAAGGUUCCCUCAGAAUGGUUGGAAAUCAUUCGCAGAGUGUAAAGGUAGAAGGGAGCUUGACUGCGAGACUGACAAGUCGAGCAGGGACGAAAGUCGGGCUUAGUGAUCCGGUGGUUCCGUAUGGAAGGGCCAUCGCUCAACGGAUAAAAGCUACCCUGGGGAUAACAGGCUUAUCUCCCCCAAGAGUCCACAUCGACGGGGAGGUUUGGCACCUCGAUGUCGGCUCAUCGCAUCCUGGGGCUGUAGUCGGUCCCAAGGGUUGGGCUGUUCGCCCAUUAAAGCGGUACGCGAGCUGGGUUCAGAACGUCGUGAGACAGUUCGGUCCCUAUCCGUCGCGGGCGCAGGAAAUUUGAGAGGAGCUGUCCUUAGUACGAGAGGACCGGGAUGGACGUUCCGCUGGUGUACCAGUUGUGCCGCCAGGCGCAUCGCUGGGUAGCUAUGAACGGAAGGGAUAAACGCUGAAAGCAUCUAAGUGUGAAGCCCCCCUCGAGAUGAGAUUUCCCAUUCCUAUAUGGAAGUAAGACCCCUGAAAGAUGAUCAGGUAGAUAGGCUGGAAGUGGAAGUGCAGCGAUGCAUGGAGCGGACCAGUACUAAUCGGUCGAGGACUUAACCAA